AAACUUUUAGUUGCCAACGAUGACAACUACGGUUCGGACUUCGCUAUCGCCGCUUAAUUGGCUUUAGUUGUCGUUCUACAGCCGCCUAAGGCGAACCCCCGAACCUACUUGUGCCCGUGCUCGUAGGUGUAGGGUCAUUAUCACGGAACCAUCGGUAGUGGCUGCCUGUCAGCUACCGGUUAGAUAAAGCAGGCUGGUUUUCAGGUGCGCUUUGCCAACCGUGCUGCCUGGGAAUGAGAUCUAACGGAGGGCUAAGCAUGUAGUGCUGGGGAUGGAGUGCUUCCGGACG
RNAcentral lists this transfer-messenger RNA (289 nucleotides) under Vibrio parahaemolyticus. Its description in RNAcentral is "partial transfer-messenger RNA". It matches the Rfam family "transfer-messenger RNA", at positions 81 to 347 of the family's 374-position model. Rfam says of the family: Bacterial tmRNA, also known as 10Sa RNA or SsrA, is named for its dual tRNA and mRNA-like properties. Its role is to liberate the mRNA from a stalled ribosome. To accomplish this part of the tmRNA is used as a reading frame that ends in a translation stop signal. The record is from RNAcentral. Lineage: Bacteria; Pseudomonadati; Pseudomonadota; Gammaproteobacteria; Vibrionales; Vibrionaceae.